AGACACAAAAAUCAAAGUUGCAGAGUGGAGCCUCGUCAGCAAGAAAGCUGAGUUCAUAACAGGGAAGCCAAGCCGCCUCUUCAAGACAACAUUAUAAAUACAAAAGUACAUGUGCAUUUGGGUUCUGUUCUGUUCUUGGUGGAGCUAAGGUAAGGUAAGGUGGUGGCCUUGGUUUAACCAAAGAUCAGAUCAGCCAUGGCCAGCUGCUUUAUCCUUUUUAGAUUGCUUUUCUUGCUUCUCUUUCUUUCAGGUUCAGUUGUUCCAAUUUAUAGCGGUGGUGUUGGGAUUAACUAUGGCCAGAUUGCCAACAAUCUUCCAUCUCCAUCUAGAGUUGCGCUUCUGCUUGAAUCCCUAAACAUUACAAGAGUAAAACUCUAUGAUGCUGAUCCAAAUGUCCUACUUGCCUUUUCAAAUUCAAAUGUCGAUUUCAUUGUUGGACUUGGAAAUGAGUAUCUUCAGAACAUGACAGACCCCAUCAAAGCUCAAAAUUGGAUUCAACAGCAUCUUCAAACCCACCUCCCUCAGACCAAAGUCACUUGCAUUACUGUCGGAAAUGAGGUUUUUAACAGCAAUGAUACUCAAUUAAUGUCUUAUCUACUCCCAGCUAUGCAAACAGUGUAUCAUGCUCUUGUUAAUCUUGGAUUAGAUAAGCAAGUUACUGUCACAAGUGCUCAUUCUCUCAACAUCUUAGCCAACUCUUACCCUCCUUCUUCUGGGAGUUUCAGACAAGAUCUUGCUGAAUAUAUUCAGCCACUUUUGAAUUUUCAUUCUCAAAUUAAUUCUCCUUUCCUUAUCAAUGCAUAUCCUUAUUUUGCAUACAAGUAUAACCCAAGUGAGGUUUCUUUAGAUUAUGUCCUUUUUCAGCCUAACCAAGGUUUGACAGAUCCAAAUACAAAUUUGAAAUAUGAUAAUAUGUUGUAUGCUCAAAUUGAUGCUGUGUAUUCAGCGAUUAAAGCAAUGGGGCAUACAGAUAUUGAAGUAAGGGUUUCAGAAACAGGUUGGCCAUCUAAAGGGGAUACAGAUGAAGCAGGAGCUACACCACAAAAUGCUGGUCUUUAUAAUGGUAAUCUGCUGCAGAGAAUUCAGGAGAAGCAAGGAACACCAGCAAAACCAUCAGUUCCUGUUGAUGUCUACGUUUUCGCACUUUUUAACGAGGACUUAAAGCCUGGUCCGACAUCAGAAAGGAACUACGGAUUAUUCUACCCUGAUGGCACCCCAGUUUAUAACAUAGGAUUACAGGGUUAUCUUCCAGAGUUAACUUAUUCUUCAGCAUCCAAGAUAAAUGUUUUGUCUGUAUUGAGUGUGGUGAUCUAUGUUAUGGUCGGCUUAACCUGUGCUUAGGAGCACCUCAAUCCAUUGGUAGAAGGAGAGGGACUAACAGAAUCAAUUUCUUAGAGAUCAUAUAACUGCAAGAGGAGUUUUUUGUUUUUGUUUCUUAAGGAGAAAAAUGGCAGCAGGAAUUUUUCCAGCAGUGGGCAGAGCAUCUCAUCUCUUUACAAGUUUCCUUGUGUAAAAUAAUAAAAACAUAAUCACUAAGGUUGAAUCCUGGAAUGGUAAUUCAUCUAUAGGUUAAAGUUAAUAGAAAGUUUAUUACAUGAAAAAUACUAAUUCUUUUGACAGAUUUCCAAUAAAGAAAAGUUGGUUAUGAUAA
This is an RNA transcript of Manihot esculenta (cassava), 1651 nucleotides long. It is a transcript of the gene named glucan endo-1,3-beta-glucosidase 14, with no coding region annotated. The transcript is spliced from 4 exons. The record is from RefSeq and is a predicted model, not a curated record. Lineage: Eukaryota; Viridiplantae; Streptophyta; Magnoliopsida; Malpighiales; Euphorbiaceae.